This 1793-nucleotide ribosomal RNA is filed under the name human gut metagenome. Its description in RNAcentral is "bacterial LSU rRNA". It matches the Rfam family "Bacterial large subunit ribosomal RNA", at positions 832 to 2641 of the family's 2925-position model. The record is from RNAcentral.
AUCGAACCCGGAGAUAGCUGGUUCUCCUCGAAAUAGCUUUAGGGCUAGCCUCAUGGAUCAUUGAUGGGGGUAGAGCACUGAAUGUGCGCGGGGGCCACAAAGCCUACCAAACGCUAUCAAACUUCGAAUACCAUACAAUGCAGACCAUGGGAGUCAGUCCGCGAGAGAUAAGUUCCGCGGGCAAAAGGGGAACACCCCAGAUCAACCGCUAAGGUCCCCAAGUUCACGUUAAGUGGAGAAGGAUGUGGAAUUGCACAGACAACCAGGAUGUUGGCUCAGAAGCAGCCACACAUUUAAAGAGUGCGUAAUAGCUCACUGGUCGAGUGAUUGUGCGCCGAAGAUGUCCGGGGCUAAACGUGACACCGAAGCGAUGGGUGCAUCUGAAAGGAUGCGCGGUAGAGGAGCAAUGUGCAGAGGCAGAAGCCGUAUCGAGAGGCACGGUGGACACUGCACAAGAGAGAAUGCCGGUAUGAGUAGCGAGAGGCAUGCGAGAAACAUGCCCGUCGAAAGCCCAAGGUUUCCUGGGGAAGGUUCAUCCGCCCAGGGUAAGUCGGGGCCUAAGCCGAGGACGGAAGUCGUAGGCGAUGGACAGCAGGUGUAGAUUCCUGCACUACCGAUGGAAUGAAGCAGUGACACAGAAGGAUAACUCGAGCAGGGUGAUGGUCAACCCUGUGCAAGCAUCAAGGUUGGGUUGUAGUGAAGUACGCAAUCCUAUAAGCUGAGAUGUGAUGCGGACCGAAAUUUCAGUAGGGAAGCGAGUGAGUUCACGCUGGCGAGAAAAGCUGCUAGUACAUCCAAAGGUACCCGUACCGGAAACCGACGCAGGUGGGCGAGGAGAGAAUCCUGAGACGAACGGGAGAACCCUUGUUAAGGAACUCGGCAAAAUGACCCCGUAACUUCGGGAUAAGGGGUGCCUGCGAGAGCAGGCCGCAGAGAAUAGUCACAAGCGACUGUUUAGCAAAAACACAGGUAUCUGCGAAAGCGAGAGCUGACGUAUAGGUGCUGACACCUGCCCGGUGCUGGAAGGUUAAGGGAACAUGUUAGAGCAAUCGAAGCAUCGAACCGAAGCCCCAGUAAACGGCGGCCGUAACUAUAACGGUCCUAAGGUAGCGAAAUUCCUUGUCGGGUAAGUUCCGACCCGCACGAAUGGUGUAACGACUUGUGAGCUGUCUCAACAGGGGGCCCGGUGAAAUUGAAGUAUGGGUGAAGAUGCCCAUUACCCGCGACUGGACGGAAAGACCCCGUAGAGCUUUACUGCAGCCUGAUAUUGAGUUUCGGUAACUGAUGCACAGGAUAGGUGGGAGUCUGAGAGACAUGGGUUUCGGCUCGUGUGGAGACGAUGUUGGGAUACCACUCUUCGGUUACUGAAAUUCUAACAUAGCUCUGUGAAACCAGAGGAUGGACAGUGUCAGGUGGACAGUUUGACUGGGGCGGUCGCCUCCGAAAGAGUAACGGAGGCGCCCAAAGGUACCCUCAGAAUGGAUGGAAACCAUUCGAAGAGCGCAAAGGCAGAAGGGUGCCUGACUGCGAGAUUGACAAAUCGAGCAGAGACGAAAGUCGGGCUUAGUGAUCCGGCGGUAUUGAGUGGAAAAGCCGUCGCUUAACGGAUAAAAGCUACCUCGGGGAUAACAGGCUGAUCUCCCCCAAGAGUCCACAUCGACGGGGAGGUUUGGCACCUCGAUGUCGGCUCGUCGCAUCCUGGGGCUGAAGCAGGUCCCAAGGGUUUGGCUGUUCGCCAAUUAAAGCGGCACGCGAGCUGGGUUCAGAACGUCGUGAGACAGUUCGGUCCCUAU